Molecule: ribosomal RNA, 403 nt
Filed under: uncultured bacterium
Lineage: Bacteria
Description: partial 16S ribosomal RNA
Rfam family: Bacterial small subunit ribosomal RNA
Source: RNAcentral
AUUGAACGCUGGCGGCAGGCCUAACACAUGCAAGUCGAGCGAGCGGCGGACGGGUGAGUAAUGUAUGGGGACUGCCCGAUAGAGGGGGAUAACUACUGGAAACGGUGGCUAAUACCGCAUACUAUCGGAUAACCCAUAUGGGAUUAGCUAGUAGGUGGUGUAAAGGCUCCCCUAGGCCACGAUCUCUAGCUGGUCUGAGAGGAUGAUCAGCAACACGGGGACGGAGACACGGCCCAGAAUCCUACGGAGGCAGCAGUGGGGAAUAUUGCACAAUGGGCGCAAGCAUGAUGAAGACAUGCCGAGUGUAUGAAGAAGGAAUUAGGGUUGGAAAGUAAGGACAGCGGGGAGGCGUUACCCGCAGAAGAAGCACCGGCUAACUCCGUGACAGCAGCAGCGGUAAUUC